Molecule: non-coding RNA, 28 nt
Filed under: Mus musculus (house mouse)
Lineage: Eukaryota; Metazoa; Chordata; Mammalia; Rodentia; Muridae
Source: RNAcentral
UCCUGUCUUAGGGUUGCCAUUCCUGUGU